GUAGGUUGUACGAAGUUAAUUUGCAUUUAGCUAUAGAGAUAGUUUAUU
RNAcentral lists this transfer RNA (48 nucleotides) under Parachtes riberai. RNAcentral describes it as "tRNA-Ala". Lineage: Eukaryota; Metazoa; Arthropoda; Arachnida; Araneae; Dysderidae. The record is from RNAcentral.